This is a non-coding RNA of Pseudomonas chlororaphis subsp. aureofaciens 30-84, 149 nucleotides long. Lineage: Bacteria; Pseudomonadati; Pseudomonadota; Gammaproteobacteria; Pseudomonadales; Pseudomonadaceae. The record is from Rfam.
UUGACUUGGAAAUGAGAAUCGUUAUGAUUAUCACAGCUGGUCGCGAGAUCAGUCGAUAACCUGAAAGACCAGUGGUUCGGACUCUCAGAUUAUCUCCUCAUCAGGCUAAUCACGGUUAUUUGACCCGGCUCUUGCCGGGUCUUUUUUUG